CACUGGUUCUUAAAGUAUUGGAAAUCCUCAGAUGUUGCAGCCAACAACUGCUGCUAGGGCUGACACUGUUUCUGGUCCCACAGUAUAGGAACAGGCAAAAAGAUAACAAAUGUAUUUUAACCUUCUAAUAUAUUGUUAUUUUCUAGUAUUAAAAUAUACUUCAAUAUACCUACUAAUCCAGAUCUAUCAGGUAGAACUUUUUGAUUUAUUGUGAAUUGUUUUUGAGAAAAAUAGACACAAGAAUCCUCAACAAAAUCAUAGCAAACCAAAUUCAACAAUAUAUCAGAAAGUUAAUCCACGAUGAUCAAGUAGGCUUCAUUCCUAGAAUGCAAAGUUGUUUCAACAUGUGCAAAUCAAUAAAUGAGAUUCACCAAAUUA
This 378-nucleotide long non-coding RNA is filed under the name Pan troglodytes (chimpanzee). RNAcentral describes it as "long non-coding RNA NONPTRT017754". The record is from RNAcentral. Lineage: Eukaryota; Metazoa; Chordata; Mammalia; Primates; Hominidae.